GCGGAGCCGAAGGUCGAGACCCCUCACGAGGCCCUCGGUGCUGCGAACGUACUGCAGGUCCCUCAGGGUCCGCAAUUCCAGCUGCUCCAGGGACUGGGACAUGUUCUGAACCUGCCAGGGGAUGGGAAAAUCAGGGAUUAGGGGAUCCCAUCCCAUCCCAUCCCAUCCUGCAGGUCCCUCAGGGUCCGUAAUUCCAGCUGCUCCAGGGACUGGGACAUGUUCUGAACCUGCCAGGGGAAAUUUGGGAUUAGGGAGUUGGGAUCCCAGUGUUCCCAUCCCAGUGUUCCCAUCCCAUC
This is a long non-coding RNA of Myiozetetes cayanensis, 296 nucleotides long. RefSeq lists it as uncharacterized. NCBI's taxonomy places the organism in Eukaryota, Metazoa, Chordata, Aves, Passeriformes, Tyrannidae. The transcript is spliced from 3 exons. The record is from RefSeq and is a predicted model, not a curated record.